CUGCCAUUCCUCUCUACGUGUUUUAUCCACUGAAUGUGGGGUUGAGCAUCACUGUAGACUUUGCAGACAAACUCGACAUCACCUCCGACUACAGCCGAGGCGUUUGCUGGAAGGCCAGCCUGGAGGAUGGGCCUGUGCGGUGAUCGCUCGACAACAUCGAGAUGGUAAGUGUGGUUGAUGGAGCCAUACUGGUUUUCCACGAUGCACGUGUAAUUUCCUUUGUCGGAUGGGACUACGCUCUCCAUGAUGAGACUCCAGUGCUGGUUGCGGACCUUAUAGCCGCCAAUACGAUGUUCUUGUUUAAACUCUUUCCCAUUUUUCAGCCAUCUCAUGGUUGGUGUUGGGUUUCCCAUGGCUGGGCAACGAAACUUGACAGUGUUUGCUGCUGGCACUGCGUGUAACCUUUUCUCCAUUUUGUCUGUGUGUGUCCAAUAGGGCGCCCUCAUCUGGUUGCUGUCAUUCACAAAGUCCUCAGACCCAUCAUUGUCAUCUUCAUCAUCCCCAGAAGAAAGAGCAUCUGUAACAUUUACAAUGAAGUACAGAGUAUCACUGUCUAGGGUCCUAAUAGCAGUGCAAGCAUAGAGGCCCGAAUCUCUGGGUGAAGCAUCUUUAAUUUGUAAGUACUCCCCAAUAAUCACUGUCCUAUUGUCGGGCCCCAAGGGGACCCCAUCCUUAGUCCAACUGAUCAUGACGGCGUCUUUCAAUUGACAGCGCAACUCAAGUGGUUCUCCUGGAAGUGCAGAGUGUACAUCUGGCUGAGAGAUUUGGUAUUUGGUUGGCGGCUCUUCGGGUUCCAAAGUGGCAUCUUCAACAACUAAGUUAAAUGACGGUCGAGCCAGGGAAAGUCCAGCCAUGGUGACCACCACCAGGCAGAUAAGGCAACCCGAAUCCCAGCUGACCAUCUUUUUAGAGUAAGUUCCUGGUCCAUUUCCAUAUCUCCAUGUGGACUUUAAUCCCAUCUGAGCACCUCUACAGGAGCAUGGACAGAACGCAGUGCCUUCGGCCAGGGCAAUCCCUCCUCACCGGGAACGGCAGCGGCUGCAGCCGGAGGGCUCCGCGGGAAGGCUCCGCCGAGGCGAAGCGCCGAGCGGCGGCGGCUCCGCGGCACGGGGGGACGAAGCGCUCCGCGGCCGCGCUCACUCGGCGGGCAGCCCCGGCGGGGCGGGCUGGGGGCCCCGCAGGGCAGCGCGGCGCAUCCCCCGCGGGGCGCGGGGCUGGCGGCGGCGGGGCGGCGAGGCAGGAGCCCGCCCGGCGUCCCGUCCCCUCGCUGCGCUGCGGCGCUACCGCCUCACAGGGGCGAGCCCGCCGUGCCCGGCGCCAGCAGCCUCCUCCCCCGCGCGGGCAUCGCUGCGGGUCCUGCUCCGCUCCAUCCAGCCGCCCUCCCCGUGCCGCCGCAGCUUUGUCAAGCCGACAACCCCCCCUUUUUUUUUCUUUUUUUUUUUUUUCCCCUCUUUUUCCCCCUCCCUCUCUCCCUCUCUCUCUCUCUCUC
This 1489-nucleotide long non-coding RNA is filed under the name Gallus gallus (chicken). Lineage: Eukaryota; Metazoa; Chordata; Aves; Galliformes; Phasianidae. The record is from RNAcentral.